GAUGAACGCUGGCGGCGUGCCUAAUACAUGCAAGUCGAACGCGCAGCGAAAGGUGCUUGCACCUUUCAAGCGAGUGGCGAACGGGUGAGUAACACGUGGAUAACCUGCCUCAAGGCUGGGGAUAACAUUUGGAAACAGAUGCUAAUACCGAAUAAAACUUAGUAUCGCAUGAUACAAAGUUAAAAGGCGCUACGGCGUCACCUAGAGAUGGAUCCGCGGUGCAUUAGUUAGUUGGUGGGGUAAAGGCUUACCAAGACAAUGAUGCAUAGCCGAGUUGAGAGACUGAUCGGCCACAUUGGGACUGAGACACGGCCCAAACUCCUACGGGAGGCUGCAGUAGGGAAUCUUCCACAAUGGGCGCAAGCCUGAUGGAGCAACGCCGCGUGUGUGAUGAAGGCUUUCGGGUCGUAAAGCACUGUUGUAU
RNAcentral lists this ribosomal RNA (424 nucleotides) under uncultured bacterium. RNAcentral's name for it is "bacterial SSU rRNA". It matches the Rfam family "Bacterial small subunit ribosomal RNA", at positions 28 to 441 of the family's 1533-position model. The record is from RNAcentral.